CAGGAUUUUCAAAUAACUUAGCGGCGGACGGGUGAGUAACGUGUGGGCAACCUGCCCUGUACUGUGGGAUAAUCACGGGAAACUGUGACUAAUACCGCAUAAUAUCACUACGAGGCAUCUCGAAGUGAAGAAAGGAUUUAUUCGGUACAGGAUGGGCCCGCAUCUGAUUAGCUAGUUGGUGAGAUAACAGCCCACCAAGGCGACGAUCAGUAGCCGACCUGAGAGGGUGAUCGGCCACAUUGGGACUGAGACACGGCCCAAACUCC
RNAcentral lists this ribosomal RNA (266 nucleotides) under uncultured Eubacteriales bacterium. RNAcentral's name for it is "uncultured Clostridiales bacterium partial 16S ribosomal RNA". It matches the Rfam family "Bacterial small subunit ribosomal RNA", at positions 71 to 339 of the family's 1533-position model. RNAcentral also lists the same sequence under 1 other name. The record is from RNAcentral. Lineage: Bacteria; Bacillati; Bacillota; Clostridia; Eubacteriales.